AACGAACGCUGGCGGCGCGCUUAACACAUGCAAGUCGAGCGGUCUGGGGGCAACUCCAGGCAGCGGCGGACGGGUGCGUAACACGUGGAUAAUCUGCCCUAGAGACGGGGAUAACCAGCCGAAAGGUUAGCUAAUACCCGGUAAGCUCACGGACCCGAAGGGGUCAGGGAGAAAAGUCGCAAGACGCUCUAGGAUGAGUCCGCGGCCCAUCAGGUAGUUGGCGGGUAAAGGCCCACAAGCCUACGACGGUAGCUGGUCUGAGAGGACGACCAGCCACACUGGAACUGAGACACGGUCCAGACUCCUACGGGAGGCAGCAGUGGGGAAUCUUGCGCAAUGGGCGAAAGCCUGACGCAGCGACGCCGCGUGUGCGAUGAAGGUCUUCGGAUCGUAAAGCACUGUCGCCCGGGAAAAGAAAGUGAUGGUACCGGAG
This 433-nucleotide ribosomal RNA is filed under the name uncultured bacterium. RNAcentral's name for it is "bacterial SSU rRNA". It matches the Rfam family "Bacterial small subunit ribosomal RNA", at positions 29 to 483 of the family's 1533-position model. The record is from RNAcentral.